This 253-nucleotide ribosomal RNA is filed under the name uncultured bacterium. RNAcentral describes it as "partial 16S ribosomal RNA". It matches the Rfam family "Bacterial small subunit ribosomal RNA", at positions 524 to 776 of the family's 1533-position model. The record is from RNAcentral.
UACGGAGGGGGCUAGCGUUGUUCGGAAUUACUGGGCGUAAAGCGCACGUAGGCGGCUUUGUAAGUUAGAGGUGAAAGCCCGGGGCUCAACCCCGGAAUAGCCUUUAAGACUGCAUCGCUUGAACACGGGAGAGGUGAGUGGAAUUCCGAGUGUAGAGGUGAAAUUCGUAGAUAUUGGGAAGAACACCAGUGGCGAAGGCGGCUCACUGGUCCGGUACUGACGCUGAGGUGCGAAAGCGUGGGGAGCAAACAGG